RNAcentral lists this long non-coding RNA (22392 nucleotides) under Cucumis sativus (cucumber). RNAcentral's name for it is "long non-coding RNA (CSAT_LNC003158)". The record is from RNAcentral. Lineage: Eukaryota; Viridiplantae; Streptophyta; Magnoliopsida; Cucurbitales; Cucurbitaceae.
AAUAAGGGUCUUUUUUGGUUUUGUAGGGGAAAUAGAAUGGUGAAGGGUGAAGGGUGAAGGGUGAAGGGGGGGUUUUGUUUUGUGUAAAUUUAAAUGUGUAUUUGUGUUUAAAAGAAAAUUGGUUGCUUUUGUGGGCAAAGUAUUCGGAUUUGAGAGGGAAAUAUUGAAUUCCAUUUAAGGAAAGUGAUUGGGUUCCGUUUUGGUGCAUUAGUCAAUUUUCAAAAUUCCAAAAAUUAAAGUUGAUUGAAGGAGAGAGAUAUUGUGAGAAUUAAAACCCAUUCCCCAUUGGGACACAAUUUGACAUCACACUUCAUUUCCACCAUUAUUAGUUCUUUUUUUCUUUUAAGAAGUUCUUUUUUCAAUAUUUCAUUUCAAUAUUUUAUUGGGCGAGAGAAUAAUCAUUAAGGUUAAUGACAACUGUCUCUGUUAAUACGACAUAUUUUGGGAUAAAACUAAAAGCAAAGUUAUGUAGGUGUAUAUUCAAAGUAGACAAUAUCAUAUCAUUAUGGACAUGUGAAUGAGUUAUCUAGAAAACGUGUCCUUUCCUUUAUCAUAAGAACUUAAUUAUCCAUGUUGAACUCUUUUUCGUUGCUUAUAUAUAUUUAUCCUUAAAAACACAUGCUCUCAUAUAUUCUUAAUAGAUAAGAUUUCACUAAAGAACUAAAAAUGAAACUAAUUAUAAAAACAAUAAACAUUCCACUUUGUUAAAGAGAUGUCAAGAACAAUGAGACUAAUAAUGAUAAUUAAAGAAAAAUGUUCAUAUUAAACAAAGGGUAUAGGGAAGUGAUCAUAACUUAAUCUCAAAGCUUCCUCUUCCCCAUUCAUGCAUAACACUUUUCAUUCCACACUAUUAAUUGAGUAAUCCUAUUGAUUAGGAAAUAAACAAUCACAAUAUGAAAGUUAAGCUCAAUGGAGUCCAAACCAAGUUAUAAACCUAAUCAUGUCAUGAGGGCAAUUAUUAUGCUGCAAGUUUCAAUGACGGGUUACAAACAAAAUAAUUAAAAGACUACGUAUCAAUUAUAUUGUGGAAUGCUCACUUUGAAGCUAAGUUAUCUAUCAAAGUUUAAGAGUCCAAUUCAUAUUCAAGUUUGAUACGGCAAUUCAGAGUAUUGUUCAUAUUAACGGAAGUCAAUUAUUCAAAUUCUAAUAAUCUAACUUCAUUCACUUUUUUAAAUGUUUUACUUAAUUUAAUUUGUAUAUUUUUCAUUCACGAAGGUUCACAUAUGAAAUAGAAAAUUUUGUUGGAAUUUUUUGUCCUAAAACUCGUAGUUUGUAAAUCAUAUUCUAUUCAAUAAAGUUGUUAUUGAGAAAUUAAAAUAUUAUAAUCUUAAAUCCAAUAAAUCAAAGUUCCAAGGCUAUUUUUUGAAUAAACUUGAACUUUAUGUGUAAACAUAAACGUGGAUCAAGUUCGAGUAUAUAGCCUAAAUAGUCUAUAGUAUAUGAAAUAAAGGUUGGGCGCCUUAUUUUGAGAGACUAUGGAUGCGGCCCACUUUGUAGUACAAACGAUGUGAUCCUAAUCGUUCAUGUAGAGACAUGAAAGUGGGGGCAUCCUAUGUAAAAUGUUUACAUAAGACUGAACCAUGAAUUAGUCAUUUUUACGUUAUAACACCGUUUACUGUUUAAAACUGACUAUCUCAAUUAUUGAUGACCUAGGUAACUUAGUCUUAAUCCUGAGUUAACUAUGAACUCCUGUUCAUACGAGAUUAUCUUUAGAUCUGCAUAGGUGAGGGCAGCUCAUCAGCGUUGGCCCAAUAAGCCUCCCAUUUCAGGGGUAAGAUCGGGUGGAUAGCUGGGAACAUAGGGUACAAGAUGGAAUUCACUCCUACCCGCUUUAGGGUUAGUAGAUAGGUUGCUCUCUUAAGCACUGAAUCCAAGUCUUGAACAAGGGGCCCCACCCUCUCAUUGGCCCGAGAGGGAUUAAGUUUAUAGGUUGAACCUUAAACCAAUUGUUCAAUAGUGGAUUAGUGGGACUUAAGGAGCAAGAUGUAAUCCUGGGGGUAAAACGGUAUUUUGACCCAGCCAAGGUUACGAGCAACCUGUGAAGGAUUAACUUACUGAUUAUGGUUUUAUCAAAUGGACACAAAUAUAUCUAUAGUGAGGGGAGUGCAACUACGGGACUUUAGUGGAAUGACCCGUUAGUUAACGAAUGUUGAUUAACUCGGUUUAAAAGAGUUUAGCUAGUUAAUCUUGAAUCGUUGGAGCCCAUGAUCUAUAGGUCCAUUAGGUUCCUCUGCUAGCUCAUAUGGAUUAAACUUAGAACAGUGUGAUGAAAUAAGUCGAAUUGUUCGAAUAGGGAGAAGAAAGGAAAACCGACAUAUACAGUGAUAUAAUCGUCGGUCUUCUAAUUAGAAAUAGAGCUUUAUGUUUUACAUACUAUAAGUAUGAAUGCGGAUUCAUACUAAGAAGCUCGGAAUUGGUCAAAAAUAGUAAAAAGUCAAAAUGUUGACUUUUGACUUUGAAAAGUCAAACUUUGACCGGCCUUAUAUUCAAAUGUGAUUUGAAUUUUGGAAAAAUGAAUGCGGAUUCAUGCUCGGGAGGUUGGAAUUAGUCAAGACGGACAAAAUGGUAAAAAGUCAAAAUAUUGACUUUUGACUUAGAAAAGUCAAAGUUUGACUUUUGACUAGAAAAAUCUAAUGACCAUUUUACCCUUGGACUAAGUUAGUGGGAAAAUCCAACAUUUUGUUGGAUAAUCCCACUAACUCUUAGUGGGAUAUGUGGCUAUAUGAGAUAUAGACACCUAGCCCACUAAGUUCCACUAAUUGUUAGUGGAAUAUUAGGUGUUGAGAUUUGGCAAUUGAAUUGCAUGCAUUUUUGCAUGUAAUUAGGCUAUAAAUAGAGAUGUUUUCAAAUGUUGAAGGACUUUUGCCUCUUUUAUCAUUUUCAUAAUCUCAACAAAAGAAAAAAAAAAAAGCUUCCAAUCUCAUUUUAUCUCCACUACUUUCUACACCAAAAUUGGGUCCCACAACCCGGUUCUUUGUCUAGAGGAUAGCAGUUGAGUACUAGUGGUGGUCUCGGGUAGAAUUGGUAAGAAGACAUCAAACCUUUUGAAAGCUUCAAAGGUAAUACUUCUUAAAACCCUAAUUUGAUUAGUUUAUGGUUACAUGUUAAUUGUGGCAAUUAGGGUAGAAAUUCGAUUCUUUUUCCGCUGUGCAUGACUUAGUUCUAUCAAAUUUCAUAUUGAACUUUAAUCUCUUUCGAACUUUAUAGUCUUUUUCUUCCUUCACUUUCAAUUUUAGUAUGAUCUAUUAGAUCGUUAAAAUUUCAAAGUUUAACUUAAUAAAAUUGUUAAAUGAUAUAUAACAUUCAAUUUACGAAUAUGUUAACUUAAACUUUUAAGUCAAUUUAUGAUUAACAAGUUCUCAUUUCUCAUUGAUGAUUGAUCAUAUUUCUAAAUAAAAUGUACAAUUGUGUCGUGAUCUUAUUAUUUUAGAUAUUCUUCUCAUUGGUGUGGAGAUUCGCUUAGAAUAAGAGAUAUAUAGGGUGUGUUUGGUUGAGAUUCUAAAGUGAUUAAUUUUGCCAAAAAAACUAUUUUGAAAAAAAUGGUAGUGUUUGGCAAAUUAAAAUAAUGUAUUUUUUAAAAAUUCAUUUAUAAAAUAAUGUAUUUUAAAGAAAUCUUUAAAAACCAAAAUCAUAUAUAAACAAUUAUAAAAAAAAUCUAACCAAACAUUAAAUGUUUAAAUUUUAAACUCAUUUUCGAAAAAGUAUUUAAAAUGAAAUGUAUUAUUGAAAAACAUUAUGUUUUUAAUUCAAUCAAAACGGACCCUUAAUCCAUAAUCAACACAACACUUCAUUGAAUCUUCUUUCCAACAAAAUAAAUAACAAAAAUUUGUAAGUUUUUGUCUUAAAUAAUUAACUUUUUAUUAUUAUUAUAAUCCUUUCCAAUUAUUUCUUUACUGAAUCUCUGAAAAUGCAACAAAACAAGAAAAAAACAUAUAUUUUUGGAAUUAACAAAUUGAACUACAAAUGAAAAAAAAUAAAUAAUACAAUUUCUCUAUGAAUUGAAUUUACUGUAAUAAUUUCAAAAACAUAUUUUACAUGAAGAAAAAAAAUAAUAUAAUUUAUUCUGUGUAUUUGAUUUAAUGUAAAAAAUUUCACUUUUGUAGUUGCUAACAAAAAAUAUUUAUACAAAAUGAACAAAAAGAAUUAAUGUAAAAUUUGGGUGUAUUUGAAUUAGGGUAUAACUAAAGAAAAUGAACUUGUGAUAGGAACAACAACAAAAUUCUACACAAAUGCAAAAAAUGUUCACAUUUUACAUUUUAUAUUGAAUUCAUAAAAAAAGAAAAAACAAGAAUUUCAUUUUUUAUUUUCACAAUUAUUUUGGUACACUUUUUUUACACAAAUGAAAAAAAAAAUACAAUCUUUUUAUCGUAAUCCUUCUUCCAAAUAAAUAUUAUAAAUAAUUCUCCAUAAUCUUCUCACAAACAAUAAUUAUAAUAAUAAUUUCCUUUUCAUAAACCCUCUCUUUAUUCCUUUCCUCCCAUCUUCCUUUCCUUUUCUCCCCCAAAAUAUUCUUCUAAAAGAGGAUUCUCAAAGAAUAUGUUUUCCGCCACGUCGGUUCCAUUCUCAGCCACCCUUCUUCUUCGCCACGUGUGCUUGAUUCGUUGGGCCUCCCUAAGGGCCCAAAUGUGUAGUCCGCCUCGACAGUAAGCCCAGAAUGAUGAAUCAAAAUCACAGUUUAUAUAAAAAUUGAAUUGAGAAAAUUAAUUAAUUGAAAAUCAUUAACAAUACUUACAAAAUAAAUCAUGGAAUUUAGGAGAGAUGAAUCUAUUCUGUUUUUCUAUACGGAAAUGAAUCAAUUUACUCUUGCCUAAUACCAAAUAUUGUGUGCAUUUUUAUUGGUUCCCCAUUCCAAAUUAUUCCAAAUUCAUUCCCUUUUUAAAAUCACUCCUUUACAUUUUUUAAAUAAGGAGAAAAUAUCUUUUCUUUUGAUUCACUUUAAAACCUCAAAUUUUCACUCACUUUUGUCUUUAGCUGCUGUUUAUUAAUUUUGUUUCACUACUUAAAUAAUAAAUGAUAAAUCUUACUUCGUAAUUAUUUUUAAAUAAUUAAUAGACACUAAUAGUAAUGAUUAAAAGUGAAAAUAAUAAUAAAUAAAAUAAACAAGGUUAAAAAAUAAAAUAACCAAGGUUUAAAAUGUAAUGAAAAAUUAAACAAAUAAAAUAACCAAAGUUAAAACGUAAAUCAUGGAGUCAAAUCGAUCAAAUUGAAACGAUACUGUAAAUUUGAAAAUUAAUCUCAAAACUUAAAAAAAAAAAGACUAAAUGUGUAAUAUUUUUUAAAUCAAAGGACCAAGCCUAACCCCAAACAUUUGCCAAAAUCAAGGAAGCACUUUCCUUUUUUUCUUAGAAAAAUGGUGUCAUUAGUUGAUACAAAUUUCAUUAAAAUUGUCUGGAAAAAUAAACAAAAAGAAUUUGAAUAUUCAGGAACCAUAGAAAUGUUUCAAAGUUUUGCAAGGAUGCAGUGAAAACAUCAGGCAUCAACUAAAGCUUAACUUGAAUCAAUGCAAGAAGUACACGUACUAACAUAAAUAUAUAACUAUAUAUAUACACACAUGCCCAUACCCUUACCUUGUGUUAUAUUAGAAUGAUGUCAAUAUAAUGAUAUUCCAAGUUGUCUGCUCUCUGUCCAUCAUCAGCCUUCUGACCUUUAGAGUUACCAACUCAAGAACUUGGAGAAUCAAACCUCCAAGCCAAUUCAAAGAAUCUAAUGCUGUGGGUCAGGUUUAUACUUUAUUAAAGUCAACUCUCGUAAGAAUCGAUUCAAAAAAGGUUCUAGAACUAGAUGGUCAAGACCAUGGCAAUGGAGGCAACAAACAGGGAAGAAGAUUUGGGGUCGAUGCAAAAAUGACCAAAAUGAAGAAGAGAAGGGGCUGAUGAGGAUGAAGGCGAUGAACGGCUACCAAAGAAAAGGAAGAGAAACCUGCGUAACAAAAGUUCUUCCACUGCAAAUUCUGAACUUGGAGCACAGAAGAAUAUUAUAUAUUCAUAGCCUAGAAAAUUAGCAUAAUAAUAGUACAAAAUAAUAGGCAUCUUAUCAUCACUCUUCUGAAUAUUUUAAGCACUGGACUCAGCUGAGAAGUUUGGUUAGUCCUAAAUAUUCAACCAAUGUCUUAAAAGGACUUCAAUUAACUCUAUCACUUCCAAGAGGACUUCACAAAAAUAGUAAUUAUAAAUAAGAGACUUCAAUUAACUCUAUCACUUCCAAGAGGACAGAAAGGGGGCCUCUAAAUAUUCAACCAAUGUCUUAAAAGGAUUAAAUUACCCGACAAAAAAAGACAUCACAAAAAUAGUAAUUAUAAAUAUAUAUAUAUAUAUAUACAAAUAAAUAUAUAUAUAUAUAUAUAUAUAUACACACACACGAAACUUUAAAAAGAUUAAAAAUGAUAAUAUUGACAAAAGUGAAGUAUAAAACACAAGGCUGGUGCCAAUCAGCAGGUCCUUACUACAUAAAACUAAAACGAGGGGUGGAAAGAAGAAAAGUAAAGGGAAAAAAGGAAAAAAAAGAAAAAGAAAGAAAAGGAAAAACGGUAAGAGGAAACGAAAAGGGUUUGUUGGAAAAGGUAUCAAAGCCAAAUUAGCCCAAAUGAAGCUCUUAACAUAAACUCUCCCAAAAGUACAGGAUCAUUCAUCCACAAGUUCAGCAGCACCUCAAACGCAAAUAUGGAUUCCCAAGCAUCUAAAAGAAAUAAGACAACGCAAACUAAUAAUCUGGCCUGUCAAAUGAAUACUCCCAUCAAAACAAUGAAGUUGAAGAUUCAAAUAAGAAAAAUGAAACAAGAAAUCAAAGAUAGAAAAAAAGAAAAAUAAAAUAAAAUAAUAAAAGUAAAAGACCAAAAACCAAAAACACAUCCGCAUUAUUAUUGUUGACUGAAAUACAACAAAAUCAACAAGUUCCCCAAACCCAUCUAAUCAGAAAAAGCAUAGCAAAAGAACGAUCAUCAAAAGAAAGUACAAAAACAAAUUCAGUGAAAUGUGCCAAAAAAAUCCAAAUUAAUAAUUGAGAAGGAUGGGAAAGUGACUAAGUCGGCAAUUAAAAGACUGAACCAAACUGGCUCAAAAUUAAAAGACAAGCACCAUCCGAUGGGAUAGAUUUCAGUAUUUGUGACCAUCAGGAAACAUAAUAAUUCAUAAAUAAAUAAAAUAAAAUUUUGAUGAAUUGUUUUCUGGUCGGUACAAGUCAAAAGAAAAACACAAUUUCAACCUGAUAACACUUUUCAAAUCAUUGGAAGACGAGGCAAAUUCUAUUGGAAAAUAAAUGAAAACAUGAUAAAAAAUCAAAUUAGGUGAGAAGAAGAUCUAAGAACACGAGUGAAACAAGGGAUAAGUUUCUUUCGAGUUUGCAUGGUGAAGCAAUUAGGGUAAAGAUGCUUUAAGCUUGAGGAUAGCUAUUAAGUCUUAGGAUGUGUUAGGCCUAUUUUGAAAAACAUUUCGUUUUUGAGAAUUAAAUUUGUAAACACUACUUCCUUCUACUUUGAGUUUUUUUAAAAUCAAGCCAUACUUUUUAAAUUUUACGAAAAAAGAUGUAGGCCCCAUUCAGUUACCAUUUCAGUUUAUGGUUUUUGUUUUUCUGUUUAUUAAAUUCCGUUUUUAAACUUUGGUUUAUUAAAAACAAAAACCAUAAAUAUUAGGUGACUGAUUUAAAAACAAAAUCCUUCUUUUUACAUUUUCAGUUUUCCUUCCUAACUUAAAAAACAAAUUUCUUGUUUUAAAAACAAACAAAGUGAAUUAGUUACCAAACACACCUAUUUUUUAAGAACUAAAAAUCAAAAACCAAAAACAGGAAAUGAAACAAGCCCGUAGUUUAAAAAAAAAUGAUUUUGUUUUUGAAAUCUGCCAUAGAAUAAAAAAAUAUAUAAAAUAUAAGUGAUGAAUCUCAUCUUGGAGAAUCUGAUUUCAAAGAAAUACUUCUGGGUAUAUUAUUCAAAAUUGAGAUGGAGGAGAGGAGCUUUAAAUUGGCCAACUUCCCAGUGCUCAAACGGCAACUUUUUUACAAAUCUAAAAUUCUAAUAUUAUUCAAAUUACAAGAUACUGACCCAGCUGUUAGCAAAGUAAAAAAUAAGUUGUAGUAGAGUUAGUGUUUGUGUUUGUAAUUACAUCAAUAAGAGAUGAAAACCAUAGAAAAGUAGUGAGAAAACAAACACAAUUUUCAAAAACUAAAUAGUCAUCAGAGGGGGGCUUUAUUGAUUUAGAUGGCUACAAGUGUUCUUUUCCUAAAACUUGCAAUAUUUGGUGACCAAUAAAAUUGAAAAUAAGUUGAUUUUAAUUUUUAACAAACACUUUAAAGUUUAUUAUAAAAAAUGUCAUUUCAAAAGGAUCAAUAAAGAAUCAGUUUGAGGUCGCUCGGCAUUUGGAUGUUUGCUUCUAGAUGUGCGUAUGUACAAUAAGGGUAAAAAAAGAAGGAAAGGAUAAAGAAGGUCAAACCAACCGAAAAAGAGCAAUGAAAAGACUCAAAAAAACACUUCGAAAAAGAGCUCCAACUGUUACUUAAAAGGAAAGGGAGGAAAAAGACUGAAAAAUUUAUUGGAAGAAAAUAAAGAAAUACAAGGGAGAGGCAUUAAUAGAGUCCCCUUUGAACAUCCUUCCAAUACAUCUUUCUAUCUUGAAUUUUCUUUUGUUCUUGUCCCAAUAAUCAUCUCCUCCUAAGGAUCACAGAUAUAUCCCUAACAGACCCAGGUCAAAAACCCAUUAGAUCCCUGUAUCAGAACACCUGACAGACCCCGCUCAAAGACCCAUUAGAUCAAAAGUGAGAUAGUGGAUGGAAACAAAUAAAACACAGUCACCAAUUUACAAGAUCAAAGGACACAGUGCAUACUCUACAAGUGUCCAGAUUCACCAUAGCUAUAGAAGUCUCAAGUUCAACCAUGCACAUUGCUGCCAUACCUACCCUCCACUUCCUUGAGGUCCACUUUGGUAGUUAUCCCAGACCAUGCCUUGAGCCAACUCAAGCAAUCACACCUUCUUAGGCGUUCUAAAUCCCUUACUACCCAACAAUGGCAAAACCAAAAGACAUAUCUCUCUAGCCCCACUCUCUCAGCUUGACGUAGGUUGUUACAGAAUUACAUUGUUAUUGUCUUGUAUUUUAUUUCAAUUAGCUAUUAAGUUUUGCCUGGGUAAUCUUUUUUUUUUUUUUUUACUUUGGUGGAAAGGAAACUAAUAUAAUUAGUUUCUAUUUCCCUAAGACAGUGGACUCCCUUGUGUACACAAUAGACAAUACACAUUGUUGGGCAAUCAACAAAAUAAAGGCAAGCCGGUGCUAUUUCUCAAAAGUCCAGUAACUGUUGAUAGUUUUUCAAUAAUAUGAGAGGUGAUUGAUGUACGUAAAAGAGAACAAAAGGUAUUCAUACUACAUCAAACAUCCUCCUCGUAUAUCUUAUAGGAGGAUGCAUCUCUUAAACCACCGGACUGCCUUUGGUAAUGGGAACUCCAAUGAGCAUUCAAGGUCCUAUUAAGAGCGGGAGUUAUUAUUUAACAUCCCAAAUCCUGGCUCCCAUGUUCGUUCAAAAUAACUUUGAGCUACUAAGAAUUGUUUUCCCUCAAGAUAGAAAGGAUGUAUUGGCACAGAUCUCAAGAACAAGGUAACCCAUUACAAGACUUUAUUGGCAGAGCCGCAGAUGCAACUUCAUAACCAAAAUUUGUUAGGUAUAAGUAUAACAAAUCAGGUUUAUUUGGUCAAUUUGAUUCUGUUCUUGUAAGCUUAGCAAUCCAUUUGGAUGGGUUUUUAGUCAAUCAAGCAGAAAUUUUGGUCUUCCAAUAAAUCAGUUUCAACGUCAUUUUUCUAAAUCGAUACACUUGCUGGCUGUUAAGCCUAAACUUUUACUAUAAUAGGAGUCGCAUCUACCAGCACCCUGUAAACAUUAUCUCUCCUAAAACCUCUUGCAUACCACAGCAACAAGCCAUCCUCCUCUAGUUUACUAAACAAAAUUCAUAAACCUCCUUCUUUACCCAACUCUUUUCAAAGAAGUCCCUACCAAUUCCUUUCCAAGUACUUUGAAAACUCUACCCGAUGUCAUAAACAUAAACAAAGAUAAUAUGUGUGAAGUAUUAAAUAAAGCUGCCUUGGCCAGAGGUCAUGACUACCUUUUAAGAAGAGCAUUUUUAUUCAUUGCUAAAGUAGUUUGAUUACCACAUGAGUUAUUUAUUUAUUUCGAAAGGAUUUGAUUGCCACUUCAUGAAUUACAAAUUCUCAGAAUUACCUCCUAAUGGCCAUUGGCCAUCCUAGGUAUUUCAUAUAUCAAUCAUCUAAGUCACAAUUAUACACGCAGGCUUUUGUUGAUGACAGUCUUAAGUUCUUAACAGUACCCAUCAAUAAUCUAUAUACUACCUAUCACUGUAAUUAAUGAUAUGCACUGAAUGAAAAGUUGAAACAUUUAAAUGGUAGAAGUGCAGUAAAUAAAAAGAAUAUGAAACAUUUCAUACCACAAGUGUGACGUGUAUCCUCCGAGAGACCCACCAGCAGCCGCCUGACCCGAUUCAGAAACCGUCUUACCGAGCAUUGUGCUUGAGUAAAUGUGCGGCAACCCCUUCAACGAUGACGAACCAGGCCCAUAAGAGCCUAGCAAUGACGAACCACCAGCACUUAAUUGGCUUAAGCCAUACGACCCCCCACUGUAACCACUCAAGCCAAUCCCAGCCCCAACUGAACUACCAACCAAACCCACUUGACUCAUGGGAACUACUCCCUGGUUCAACAUACCACCUCCCAAAGCUGGACUCCCAUAUCCACCAUACACCGGAUGAUUAAGGCCCGGAUGUUGAGCAAACAAUUGCAAAUUAGGAGCUGCGGCCAUUGCCGCCAUAACCGGCGUCUGAUUCUGCCCUAAGCUUUCCGCUGCCUGUGUGGAAUUUUGAUUCUUGUUCUUCCCUCAGACGCCCUCUGGCAGUGCAAUUUGUUCCCUUCAAACACUUUGUGUGGUUCCUCAAGAGCCUUCCUCGCACCUUCAUUCGUUCUAUAAAUAAAAAUGGCAUAACCCCUCGAUUUCCCUGUCUCGGGAUCGAACCCAAUCGGACCCAUCUCUAAGUCUCCAAAUUUCGCAAAGAACGCCCUAAGCCUCUCAGCAUCCACAUUAUGGUGCACAUUAGCCACAUAAAUCUUCCGCGGCCCAACCUCCUGGCUUUGCGGGGGCGGCACUGAACCCACAGAAGCCAAUUGACACGAAGUCAUCCGGUUAUUAAUCUUCUUCCUAGGUUCCUUCAACGCCUUAAUUGCACCUUGCCGGGAUUUGAACAAAAAUAAACCCAUAUCCCUUAGCCUUACCUGUGUUUCUGUCCAUAACCACAUUGCAAUCUUCAAUUUCACCAAAAGAUUCAAAAACCGAAGUUAGGGUUUCUCGGGUGGUGUCCCAACCGAGGCCAUGGACAAAUAUCUUGCGGUGAGUAACAUCGCGGUCGGCAGCAGCUCGAAUUUGGGCUUGAAGAUUUGGGUCUUUGAGAGCGGUGGUGCAAAUGAGCUCAAUUAAUUGGUCUUGGAGAAGGGUUCGAGGAGUUUGGGAAGAUCGUCGAAAUCGGAGUCGGAGACGUCGUCGACUGGUUGAGACUGAACGUUAUGUUCAAGCUCUUUCUUGAGUUUCUUAUCGACCUUGUUUUCAGAUUUCUUGACCAGCUUUCUUUUGGCGGUUUUGUUGGUUCCCUCCAUUGGAGAGCUACUGAGCCGGCGGCUUCAAAAGAAGAAGAAGAGGAGGAAGACGAAACAAGGUUUCGGCGGACUGCCCCGAGUCUAAAGCAAAUUUUAAUAUUAAUAUUAUUAUUUUGUUCUUUUUUUGAGAAAAUCAAUUAAUAUAUAAUAAAAUAGAGAAAUUGUUGUCAUUAAUUUAAGGGGUUUUUUCUUCUUCUUCUUCUUUUUUUUUUUUUUUUGUUAAAGAAUAACUUUAUGCUAAAUUACAAAUUUGGUUAAGCUUUGUAUAUUUAUAUGGUAGUAGUUUUCUUUUCCAUAAAUAUUAAUAGGUGUUGAUAUAUAGUUGAUAUUUGGUAUCAACUUAUUCUUUCUAAUAUAAUCAUUUUUACAACCUACAAAAUAGAAAAAAUAGCCUCCAUAUUAUGUUUGGUCAUCGACACUUUGACAAUCCAUAUGGUAGAAAGGACAUACUAGAAAUCUUGUUAAGGUAGAAAAGACGAGAAGACAACUUUACCAUUGUGCUAACUAAUGUUAUUAGUAUUAUAUGUAUCUAAAGAGUAUGAAGUUGUGUGUGUAUAUAUAUAAAGAGCAUAUAUUAUACGGCUAGAUGGUUGAUCUUGUGGAUCAAUCACCAUAUUUGGUCAAAUAAGUCUAUGGCUAAAUGUGGGUCUGUCUCCAUUCCUAGUCAAACAAGUAUUCAGUUAUUCUUUCACAAUACUAAGUUUUUAAUAUUUUUUAUUUAAUCAAUUUACUUAAAAAUUUAGAGGGAGAGAUUUUCCUCUUUUCCAUUGUCAUGGAAGGGGUAGAGAGGGAAGAGAAAAAAUAAAAGGGAUGAAAAAAAACGAAGGAAAGCAUUAUUCAUCUUUCUUUCUCCUACUUGGAUGGUUGUUUUGUUAGAAUUUUGAUAUAUAUGUUGAGCUUUUGAUUCUUACUUAACUCUAAUAUCUAAUUUGUAGAUAUCAAUCAAGUAUAGCUCUUUGUAAGUAUGUCUUGCUUUAGGAUCGGGUCGAAUAGUAAUAGUUUAAACACACUUUCAUAUUAAUUUUGAUACUAAAACAAGGAAAAUUUACCCAACGCGGGAGAAAUAAUACUUUGAUAGUUAUAUGUUCAAGUUUAUCUCUUAUUUUAUGGUACAUGAUUUUGCACUGACUAAACUAAAAUAUUCUUUAAGUAGGAAGGAAAGUUACCAACUAAAGAUUCGUAUGACUGUCACCACAGUAUUAAAUAACCUCGUGAAUUCUCUUGAAUCUCUUGAACACAUUUUCUACUUGUAUAACUUAGCGUGGAAGUUUAAUGAAAUUCAUCUUUACAUUAUUAUUGGAAGGGAUGGUCUUAGAAGUUCAAAAUUUAAUAAAGUUUUUUCAAUAUAAUUCAUGUAAAGGUAAAGGUUAGAAUUUGAGAUCUCAACAAAGAUGGUGCAUAAUGUUAUGCUAUUUUUUUUUUGACAAUUAAACUAAGAUUAGUAAAACAUAAGUUAUAAUAGUUAUUACUGUCGAACACAACUCUAGCUAACCUAAUUGUUUAGGAUGAAAAUUUCUGCCCAACAUUCUGUAUUAUAUAUCAACUAAUUAACUAUAGCCAUAUAUUUUUAAUAGUUUUCAUUCUAUAUAUAAACAAUAUCAUGUCACCUACUACAUAGUUUUUAGUGCUACUGCUUAAUAAGGUGUGUCAUUAGUUUUGUUUUUGCAAAAUCUUUCUUUUAACCAUUGUCAUCAUUUGAUUUAUGUAAUAUUCUAACUUUAUUCUAAACAUGGAUAAGAGUUGGAUAUGAUUUAAGCGAAAUAGAUAAAUUUUAUAAAAAUAAUUUGUAAGCAACUAAAUUUAUGUUGAUAUCAAACUCUCAUAAGAGAUUUCCAUAUAUUAAGAAUUGAUUUUCGAUGUUUGAUUUCAAAAAUUAAUUAAUUUAAAAUUAUUUAAUAAGUGGUUUUCUAUUUGAGAAAUAAUUAUAAAAAAAUUUCUCAAAUGAGUGUGUAAAAAAAUUAAAUAACCAUUUUAGAAUGAUUUCCAAUCAAAUUACUAAAUAAAAAUUACAUAUCAUCUCAUUUCUCUAACAUCCAUUUGAAAUUAUUUUAUAUUUUUCUAAAAUCAAUAAACAAACCCUAAAUACCUCUAAAUUUUACGGUUCAAUUUUUAAUUGACUAUGUUGAAGAAAAUGUUUGAAAUUUGAAAUUAUUUCAAAACAUACCAUUAAAUUUUUUUCCUUUACUAAAAUGAAUUAUAAUAUUUAUAAAUUAAUUUCAAACUAUCUAGAGAAUUAAAUUGUUGUUAAAAGAUAUCAUAUCAUGACAUAAAAAAAAGUCUACAUCCCAAAAUCUUUAGUUCUUUCAUUUGUUCAAUCUCUUUUUCAAUGAAAAUGUCGACUCAAAAUAUCAAAAUUUUAAAAGUAUUUGAUCGAUUUAGUGAUAAUUAAUUCAACUAUGUUGGCUUUUGCUAUAUGUAUAGUAAUAUGUAUAUAUAUAAACACUGUGUACGGAUGAAAAUAUAUUCCCGUGAAUUUACUUUGGAUAAGUUCCAUUUGUUUUCUUCUGCACUUUGAAUAUAUUCGGUAUCUACCAAUUACCAUCCAAAUUCUCCUUUCCUUUCUCUAUAAUUAAAAUAGAAAAAUAAAAACAAACCUUUCACUUUUUGUAAAUAAAAUUUUCCAAACCAAUCAUUCAUAAACUCAAACUUUCUUACUCUUUCUCUUAUCUUCUAUCCUUUUGCAACAAAAAAAAAAAAAAAAAAAAACUAUGAAAAUCUGCUUCUUCUUCCUUCAACUCACUCUCAUCAUUGCUACAAUUUUCGCAUCCAAACCAACUUAUGACUUCUCCAGUACCAUCUUCGACACCGGAGGGCUCAGUCGAGCUGCAUUUCCAGAAGGUUUCGUCUUUGGAACUGCAACUUCUGCAUACCAAGUAGAAGGAAUGGCUGACAAGGAUGGCCGAGGCCAAAGCAUUUGGGAUCCUUUCGUUAAACUCCCCGGUACUCAUAUCUUUCCAUUACUUUUGAGUUCUGAUUUAGUUAAAAAUGAACUAAAUAUCAUCAGAUCUUCUUAUUUUUUUCCGAUGUGAGAGAUUCUCAUGGCAUAAUAAAUAUAAUUGCUUGAGUUAUUUUUCCUUGUUUUUUUUGAAAUGGUUGUGAGUAGGAAAAAUUGUUGACAAUGCUACUGGAGAUGUAGCUGUGGAUCAAUAUCAUCGAUACAAGGUAUACGUGAAUCAUGUCAUCAUAUUUAAUUGAUAUUAAGAAGUUUGAAUAUCCAUAUAUAUCUGGUUAAUGAUUUUUCUUUUUAAUCUUAACAAAAUUGUUUUUAAAUUUCUAAUUUUAUGUUUUUAAUUUAAUUUCUUUGUCCGUUUGGAAUAGGAAGACAUUGAUAACAUGAAAAAGCUGAACUUCGAUGCUUAUCGAUUCUCGAUUUCUUGGCCGAGGAUAUUUCCAAGUAUUUAAAAUUUUCUCUUUAUACAAUAUUUUUAUCUUUUGAAUGGCAAAAAUCAUUACCUGCAGCUACAUAAUUAUAAUUAAUAAUAAUCUGUUUUAUUUCAUUUUUGCUUCUUUGUUUUUCAAUAGAUGGAACAGGAGAAGUAAAUUGGAAAGGGGUUGCUUACUAUAAUAGAUUGAUUGACUACAUGAUUCAACAAGGUAAAAUAUUAUAUGUUACACCCAUUCAUUUUAUUUGAUUUCAAUUUUAGUAUAAAAAAAAUUCAAAUUAUAGCCUAUUUAAUUAAUAUCUAUUUUAUUUUUCGGUAUAAAAAAUGAAGCCGAAUUUAUUUAAAAUUUUACGACGUAUAAUUUUCAAAUCAGAAAACAAAAUGAUAAAUUAGUUAUUAUUUACUUACUUAAAUAAUUAGACUAUUUCUUUGUUAGGAUAUAAUGUUGUUAUUUUGGACAUAGACUCUAGUCAUUUUAUUUUUAAUUUUAUUUGAAAGACUUGUCUAGCGAAAAUGAUAAUAUAUUUAAGUAAUCGAGUUUUUUAAAGUAUUUUAUGGUUUAAUAAGACGAUCAUUACGUCGUAAUUGUAAUUGACUCUUUAUUAUUUACGACUUCUUUUAGUAAUUAUUUCAUCGAUUUAAUUAGUUUGUUUUUUAAUUGAACUUAUUUUCUCUUUAUUUAUUAAAUUUUUAGUUAAAUUUUAAAUGUCAAACAACUAUUUGUUUAAAUUUCAAAAACUCAAUAUAAUAAAAUUUUAAUGAUUAUAAUUCUAUGUGUGUGUUUCCUUUUCAUUGCAACGUGAAGGAAUCACACCCUAUGCAAAUCUUUACCACUACGAUCUUCCCUUGGCAUUACAAGAAAGAUAUAGAGGUUUACUAGACAAGCAAAUUGUGUAAGUUUGAUCAAACUUAUGUGUAUAACUUAUAUUUUCAUACCUACAUUGGGUUAUGAUUGCAAUUAUUUUCAACAUAUAUAUGUGCAUGCAGGAUCGAUUUUACAAAUUAUGCAGAAUUUUGUUUUGAAGAAUUUGGAGAUAGAGUGAAGAAUUGGAUGACAUUUAACGAACCGAGAGUUAUAGCUGAUGUUGGGUUCAAUAGCGGAAUAAUGCCUCCUUCAAGAUGUUCAAAAGAAUAUGGAAAUUGUACAGAUGGGAAUUCAGGAACUGAACCUUACAUUGUGGCUCAUAAUAUAAUUCUUUCCCAUGCUAAUGUGGUUGAUACAUAUAGGAAGAAAUUUCAAGUAAGUAAAGAUGCUUUUUUUUUCUAAUUAUUUAUUAAGUUUUGUUUUUAUUUUUGUGAAUAAUAUUUUUAUUAAUAUAUAGACUUGUAAUUUCUAUAGGAAAAACAAGGAGGAAGAGUUGGGAUUUUGUUGGAUUUUACAUAUUAUGAACCUCUCACUAAUGAGAAAGAAGACAGAGAUGCAGCUCAAAGAGCAAGAGAUUUUCAUAUUGGCUGGUAAAAAUUAAUAUAUUAAUCCAAUUUGUGAUUUGUUUUGUGUUCAAGUUUAAUUUUUAUGUUAAAUUGGAUCAUUAAAUAUAUAAUAUCAAUUUUCACCAACCUAUACAUAUAUGUAUAUGUUGAAAUUAGGUUCUUGCAUCCAUUUACAUAUGGUGAAUAUCCAAGAAGAAUGCAAGAAAUAGUAAAAGAAAGGUUACCAAAAUUCAGUGAAGAAGAGGUAAAAAAGGUGAAAGGGUCAGUAGAUUUUGUGGGUAUCAAUCAAUAUACAACUUUCUAUAUGUUCAACCCUACUUGGCCAAAACCAACCACUCCUGGCUAUCAAUCUGAUUGGCAUGUUGGCUAUGCUUGUAAGACUCUACUACACCAUUGUUAUUAUUAUAAUUAUUUAAUCAUCUUCUUCACUUCAAUUAUUUCUAUAUUCUAAUGCUACUUUUUUCUUAUAAUUUUGUUCCCACAGAUGAAAAGAAUGGAAAACCAAUUGGUCAACGAGUACGUAAUUAAUCUUUAACAUCGAUUGAGCGAUGUUCGCUUUUAACUACUAAAUAUAACUUUUGAUUGGUCUCAGGCUCAUACCGGAUGGUUGUAUGAAGUACCAUGGGGAAUGUACAAAGCUUUGAUGUAUGUGAAGCAACACUAUCGAAAUCCAAACGUUAUAGUUUCAGAAAAUGGUAAUUCACUCUCAAUUUCUGUUUAUUUGUUUUUGAUCAGUUUUAGUCAUGAGGUUAUAUUUAUUACUAAUUCCUUUUUUCAUAAGAAAAAAACUGUACAGAAUAUUCCCUUUUAUAAUUAUUUUUCUAAAAAUGUAUAUGAUUUGUAUAGAUUUUCAAAUCAUUAUCCCUACAAGAAUAUGGUAUCUUUGAAAUAAUCGUAAUCAAAAUUUGAAAACAAAAUAUAGGAAUUUUGAAAACUCAUUCAGCAUUUUUUUCUCACAUGAUAUUUGAUAAUUGGGUUUGCACUAGAAGUCGUCGUUAUACGUACAUAUGUUGGCAAGUAGCUGGUAGCAGGUAUUUUGUAACAGUUAAACGUUUAAUUCUAUUUUAAAUGCAAUGAUAGGAAUGGACACUUCUGAUAUCCCACUUCCUGAAGGGUUAAAUGAUAGAGAAAGAAUAAAUUACUACAAGACAUAUUUGCAAAACAUGAAGAAAGCCAUUGAUGAUGGAGCUAAUGUGAGUGGAUAUUUUGCAUGGUCUUUGCUUGAUAACUUUGAAUGGCUAUCAGGUUAUACUUCAAGGUUUGGUAUCAUAUAUGUUGAUUACAAACACAAUCUCAACAGAAUUCCUAAGAUGUCAGCCUAUUGGUUCAAACAAAUGAUUAGUAAGAACUAGGAGUAUAAUUAAACCUAGCUCAAGUAAUAUUUUAAAUGCUAUUGGUAACUAUAUAUAUAUAUAUUAUUCUCUUCCUUUCUUAUAUUUAUAAGAAAAUAAAUGAUUGACGAACAAAACAUAUUAGUGGAUCAUCUUUUACCAAAUUUUGAAAUUGAAUGAUAAUUGAUAUUUUAUGAAUCGAAUUAUGCUUAUAUUCUCGAGACUCUUUAAAUCUCUUUUUUUAAUUUCACUAAGAUAAAUACUUUUAUCUUAUAUAUAUAUGCAAAUUUUUUUCAUGAUAGUCUCUACUUAAUUUUGUUUUUUUAUACAUGUGUGUAUAUGUACAUAGAGGAAAAAUUGAAGUUGAUGUUAGGACAUCUUUUACAUGUCAAUUUUGAACAACUGUGUUCAAUAUUUUGUCAGGCAUUAAAUUAUUUGUGGUCAUUUGUAUCUUUUUACUUAUGUAAUAUUUUAUUUUAAAGUAAUAUUAAUUAAAGCGAACUCAACUAAGAAGUUUAUAGUUAAAUUCUUCUACCGUACCAAAUUUAAAAAAGAAAAUAGUAUUCACCUUUUAAAUGAUUUUAGAAAUAUUAUCAUGGUCUGAUUCUUUUCCCUUUAAAAGUUGUAACUUAAUUUGGAUAUAGUUUCAAUUAGUUCCUCUUUACAAGUUUCAAAUUUACUAGUUGUGGUUUGAAUAUUUAGUUUAAAUUAGGCGUGAUAGUUGGCUUAGUUUUCUUUAUCUUGUAUAUAUCUAGUCAAGAAUCAAUAAAUAAAUUUUUCAAAAUGACUGUAAUCUGUUUGAUUUAAAAGUUUUAUAUAGGUUAAUUAGCUCAAUAAGUAUGCAAUUAUGAUGGCACAUAUCUAUAACCUCGUACAAAAUAUGGAGGAAAGUUCACGAACCCUAGGUCAAUUGACAUAUACUCAAGUCAUUAUGACUUUAAGAAAAAAAAAAAGAAUUAGUCAUUUAUGAUUCUAAAAAAAAACUCAUACUAAACUUACAUCUUAAAGCCUUUAACGAACUUAGGCACAAAUACUCGUCUAGUACUAGCCCAUUCUCUUUUGUGCGUCAUAUUUAAAUUGAAACUAAACUUAAAUAUUUAGAUCGAACUCAAAAGAUUCUAAUUUGUAAUUUAGUCGCGACAACAUUCUUGUUAAAAAAUGAUGACUAGCUAACCAAAUUAAACUGCACCUCUAUUAUCUAUUAUAUCUUAGUCACAAUGAAAUUAAUUAAGUACAAUAAUAUUAUCAAUUGGUCAAUAAAGGGGACUAAUCCAACUUGGAUCCCAACAACAACAACGUGGCUGAUAGUUAAGGAGAUAAGACCCUUCUAUUGGUAUGAUAUCAUGGGUGUGUUCUUAAUCAAUUAAUUAAACCCUUAAUUAGAAAAAAUUGAAACAGUUACAAUGUCCAACUAGGCAGCUUCCAUUUCAAUAAACCACAUCUGACGUGCCAUCAUUUGUGGUUACUAAUUAAUAGUUAUGCCACUUAGAAAAAGCCUAAGCCACUUAGAUUAUUAAUUAUGAUUAUAAUUAUUAAUUUCAUUUUCAUUGAGUCUAUGUGUGGUUCUUCCACUUUAAUGACCUGAAAAAUGCCUUUUUCUCCUAAGCACUAUUAUUCAUUCUCAUUCGUGGUUUCAUUAAUAAAAAUCAUCUCUAAUAUAAUCUAAUCAUUCACAUUAAGUAGUAAUAAUAAUAAUAUACCAAAAACAUGGGCUUUCAUUCUUCACCAACUCUCUUAAGAGUGUGGCAUGCUUAGUGUUGUUGUACUUUGGGUUUUAUAUAUUUUAAUUCAAUUUGUUGGUAAAUAGUUGGAAUUAGUCGGUUUCCUAUGAAAUCAUCACCAAAAGGAUGUUUGGCUAUUAGUUUUGAUGCAUAUACAUCUAUCUUUUUUGUCAACUUUUGGAGUUUUUUUUUCCUCUUUGACAAUGUGGGUAAAGAAAAUCGAACAUAUGAUAUCGAGAUUGAUAGUAAAUAUUUUAUGUUGGGUUGAGUUAUACUCGUUUUGGUAUAAAUAAUAAAAUAAGCACACAAAGAUGUCUAAAUUUAAAGUUGAGAAGUUGGAGCUUGUUAUUAUCAAUCUCAUGGUUUAAAGGGUUAGUAGAGAUAGUAUAACGGAACGGUUUUAUGAGAAAAAAUUCAUAUAGUGACUUAAUCAAGCUUAAAUAAACAAAACCACAUCCAAAAAUGUUAAGAACUUGACAAUCAAAGAUAAAUAAAAAAUAAAAAGCGAACAUAAACAAUAGAGAAUAAUCAACACAAAGAUUUAACAUAUAGUUCACCAACAGUGUGUUAGCUACAUUCACGUGUAAAGGAAGAGUACAAACUUUAUUAGCAAGAAAAUAUCAUACUAUAGAUUCAAUUGUUGUUAGAGAGUUUAAUAUUGUGCACUGUUCAAAGCCUUAUAGAGCCAAAAUAAAAUAACAUGAAUACAAAUACAACUUAAUAUAUUUGUUUCAUCGCCCAUGUACUCUAGUUGAUAUUGAUGUACUAGGUGACAAGACCGUUAUAUUUUGGUCAUACAUUCAGAACGUCAAAUAAUAAAUUCAAAGCAUUCCAACACAAAACAUUAAUACAAGCUCGGAUUUCUAAUUUUGGGUUUUCAGAAACCCUACUUCAUGGUUAAAAUAACAUAUUAUUAAAACUCAAACUAAAAUAAUCUACGCUCCACGCACAAAAUCAUUAUAACUCAACUAUAAUAACCAAUUAUUGCCUCAAACGCUUCUUUAUUUAGAGGGUGAAAAAGAUUUUUGUUUAAUUUCCUCACCAAUUUGGCUUAGCAUUAUUUUAUUCUUAACAUAUAUGAAUAUGUGUCUAAUAACUAUAUGGGAGUUGUAACCGUACACCAUUUUAGACAUACCGUAUCAUGACUCUUUGGAUGACACCUCAAAUCUUGAUCUAAAAGCAUAGAAUGAUUCAUAAAAAAGGAUACACAUUCAUAUAUCAUAACGCACCAAAUCUCAUCAAAACUUUACAGUUAAGCAUACUCGAACGAUAUAGUACUAAAUUUGGUGAUCACUUGGAAAGUCUUCGUUUUCACCUAUUUAGAGAAAUAAUGUUCAAGAAAGUCACCUCAAGGCAAUAAAAGAAGCUUAAUAUCUUUGAUUUCAAAUAUAUCAUCCCAUCAUUUUAAGCACUUUGAGUUUAGCAUAUGUUAGCUACAACCGAUAUAACGAGUUCUUAUACUUAGAGUUGGAGAGAGAAUUUUUUAUGUGGUUGUAAUAAUUUUUGACAAAGUAUAUUUUUUUUAUUUCUCACUUUAAUUUUUGCAUAAUCGUGUGAUAGUAGUAAGUGGUUUUAUUCCAAUAGAAAGUGAGUAAAAAAUGAGCAUUGGUUUGAUUGGGAAGGAACCCUUAGGUUCAACUUAAUUUCUAAUGUAAUUUAGUUAUAUUAUUGGUUGAUAAAAAAAUUUAUAUUAGUUAUAAAAAGUAGCUCCUUCUUUUAUGACAAUGACAGUUGAAUUUGAUUAAUUAUUAAUUAAGAGAAAACAUAUUGGGUUUGGAGCAUAUGAGAUUUAAUUAAUUUAUUAAAAGCUUUGCAGCCCUAACCAAAGCCAUGCAUGGCUUAUAAAUACUACCAAUUUCAAAGCUUCUAAAUACACCAAAACAAAAACUAACUUCCAACACAAGAAAAACCCAAAAUAAUAAUUCCAAUAUCUUCUUCCUUCUUCCUUCUUCCUUCUUCCUUCUUCCUUCUUCCUCGAUCUUCUUUAUAGGCCUCCUUCUUUCUCUAUAUUCUCAAAAUCAUGUCAUCCCUUGGAGCUUCCUAUGCCAAAAUCCACCUCCUACAGAAGCAACAAAAGGAGAAACUUGAGAGAAUGGAACCAAAUCGAUUCUCCCGAGGAGAGACCGCCACCGCCACGGGUUCCUCUAGUGGUGGUUCUUUGCUUGCAAGGAAUAAAAAAGUUCACCCGGGAAGCAUUGCUCCGACGACCACAGUCGACAGCUACAAAAAUAGAACAUGAUCAAGUUAUAUAUUUGACUUUAUGCUUCCCGGCCCUUCUUGAUCAUGACCUGUUUUCCUUCUUUUAGUGUCUAUAAAAUCGAAAAGCUUUUGUUUGUGUAAAUGUGUUUAAAAAUGUCUGUCCAAAGGCCAAAAGAAAAAGAAGAGGAAGAAGAAGAAGAAUAGUAUAAGUGUGUCUUUUGGUCUGAUCUACUCUUUUCAUGUUCUCUAGUCUGUACUUUUCCAAUGUUUUGCUGUUAAUUAAUUAAGGAUGUAAUUGUGUCUUAAUGCUUUAUAAGGUAAAGUAUAACACUUUAGUUUUUAUUAUACAUAUAUAUAUAGUAAUUUUCUCCUUUGACGUCAUGAUAGCUAUAGAAAAGUAUUUGGACAAUAUACAUCUCACAACUAUAUCUAUUCAUCUCAAAAUGAACAAAGUGAAGAAAAAAUUCAAAACAAUUAAUUAUUUUAUGUAGAGAUGUGAAGAAAUAAAAUAACUAUAUACAUUUGUAAUUUGUAACCUGUUACAUUAACAUUUGAAAAUGAAGAUGAAGUAAGUUGUAACUAAAACAUGUGAAUAGAGGAUAUGUGAGGGUUUGGACCUAUCAUUUUCAAUAUUGAUUUCAUAAGAAAGGAGAUUCAUAUCAUCCUCAUUAGAGGGAGGUAUGAUAGAGACAUGAG